Molecule: ribosomal RNA, 483 nt
Filed under: uncultured bacterium
Lineage: Bacteria
Description: partial 16S ribosomal RNA
Rfam family: Bacterial small subunit ribosomal RNA
Source: RNAcentral
GAUGAACGCUGGCGGCGUGCUUAACACAUGCAAGUCGAACGGUGAAGCAGGAGCUUGCUCUUGUGGAUCAGUGGCGAACGGGUGAGUAACACGUGAGCAACCUGCCCCUGACUCUGGAUAAGCGCUGGAAACGGCGUCUAAUACUGGAUAUGUGAUGUGACCGCAUGGUCUGCAUCUGGAAAGAAUUUCGGUUGGGGAUGGGCUCGCGGCCUAUCAGCUUGUUGGUGAGGUAAUGGCUCACCAAGGCGUCGACGGGUAGCCGGCCUGAGAGGGUGACCGGCCACACUAGGACUGAGACACGGCCCAGACUCCUACGGGAGGCAGCAGUGGGGAAUAUUGCACAAUGGGCGGAAGCCUGAUGCAGCAACGCCGCGUGAGGGAUGACGGCCUUCGGGUUGUAAACCUCUUUUAGCAGGGAAGAAGCGAAAGUGACGGUACCUGCAGAAAAAGCACCGGCUAACUACGUGCCAGCAGCCGCGGUAA